UAGUGUUACAGCUCUUUUAGAAUUUGUCUAGCAGGUUUUCGGUUUUUUAGCAGACACCCUCC
Small nuclear RNA from Nomascus leucogenys (northern white-cheeked gibbon), 62 nucleotides. Its record names the gene U7. It matches the Rfam family "U7 small nuclear RNA". Rfam says of the family: Animal histone pre-mRNAs are spliced by a different mechanism than nuclear pre-mRNAs and self-splicing introns. This processing involves the U7 snRNP, which contains only one RNA species: U7. NCBI's taxonomy places the organism in Eukaryota, Metazoa, Chordata, Mammalia, Primates, Hylobatidae. The record is from Ensembl.